ACCCUCUGGUUCCCUUUCCUAUCAGAUCUUGGUGGUUGUAAAAGGAGGAAAAGUAAUACUGAAGCUGGCCAUAUGUUGUUCUGGUCGGAUAUCUAACACACCAGCUUAUUUCAAACAGAG
This is a small nucleolar RNA of Ictidomys tridecemlineatus (thirteen-lined ground squirrel), 120 nucleotides long. The record is from Ensembl. NCBI's taxonomy places the organism in Eukaryota, Metazoa, Chordata, Mammalia, Rodentia, Sciuridae.